AAAAAGAAAAAGGAUGCAUUGAUAAUCAUCAAUAAUGCAACACAAUUGAGUCAUACAAGUAAACCAAAUCCUCAAAUGAUAGGGUGUAACUUGAAGCAUUUGUCAUCAAACUACUUACAAACUGAGCUAAAUGGUUACUACAUUCAUUCCAUUAUUUGUGGAGAACACCGAAUUUCCAAAUCACCGGUCCUUGAAAGACUCAAAAUUUUUAGACGCAUCCUUCACCUGAUCGGCAAUUUCUUGCCUCUUUUGCUGAGCCAAUUUAGAUAGAUCCUCCAUUCUCUUUGAUGUCCUCACUGCAAAUCUUUGAAAACUAGGGCUGUUGGAGAGCCCAUUAACGAUCAAUUCAUUGGCGACAUAAGAGAUGACCCUAUGAAUGAAAUUUCCUCCACCAGCCAUGGCUGAGAUUGGACAACUGGUAAACGAGAUAUGGCCA
RNAcentral lists this unclassified non-coding RNA (436 nucleotides) under Hevea brasiliensis (rubber tree). Lineage: Eukaryota; Viridiplantae; Streptophyta; Magnoliopsida; Malpighiales; Euphorbiaceae. The record is from RNAcentral.